RNAcentral lists this ribosomal RNA (430 nucleotides) under uncultured bacterium. Its description in RNAcentral is "partial 16S ribosomal RNA". It matches the Rfam family "Bacterial small subunit ribosomal RNA", at positions 29 to 507 of the family's 1533-position model. The record is from RNAcentral.
GCGAACGCUGGCGGCAGGCUUAACACAUGCAAGUCGAGCGCCCCGCAAGGGGAGCGGCAGACGGGAGAGUAACACGUGGGAACAUACCUUUUGGUUCGGAACAACUGAGGGAAAUUUCAGCUAAUACCGGAUAAGCCCUUACGGGGAAAGAUUUAUCGCCGAAAGAUUGGCCCGCGUCUGAUUAGCUAGUUGGUGAGGUAACGGCUCACCAAGGCGACGAUCAGUAGCUGGUCUGAGAGGAUGAUCAGCCUCACUGGGACUGAGACACGGCCCAGACUCCUACGGGAGGCAGCAGUGGGGAAUAUUGGACAAUGGGGGCAACCCUGAUCCAGCCAUGCCGCGUGAGUGAUGAAGGCCUUAGGGUUGUAAAGCUCUUUUGCCCGGGAAGAUAAUGACGGUACCGGGAGAAUAAGCCCCGGCUAACUUCGUG